Molecule: ribosomal RNA, 300 nt
Filed under: Cortinarius sp. OTU-221
Lineage: Eukaryota; Fungi; Basidiomycota; Agaricomycetes; Agaricales; Cortinariaceae
Description: eukaryotic LSU rRNA
Rfam family: 5.8S ribosomal RNA (bases 1-71)
Source: RNAcentral
GUGAGUCAUCGAAUCUUUGAACGCACCUUGCGCUCCUUGGUAUUCCGAGGAGCAUGCCUGUUUGAGUGUCAUUAAUACAUAUAUCAACCUUCCCUUUUUGGUGAAUGGCUUGGAUGUGGGGGUUUGCUGGCCUCUAAAAAGUUCAGCUCCCCUGAAAUGCAUUAGCGGAACAACCUGGUUCAUUGGUGUGAUAAAUAUCUAUGCCGCUGAAUGUGAGGGGCAGUUCAGCUUUCUAACCGUCCUUGGACAGAUCAUCAUUAAUGUGACCUCAAAUCAGGUAGGACUACCCGCUGAACUUAA